This is a long non-coding RNA of Carassius carassius (crucian carp), 1096 nucleotides long. RefSeq lists it as uncharacterized. The record is from RefSeq and is a predicted model, not a curated record. The transcript has 2 exons. NCBI's taxonomy places the organism in Eukaryota, Metazoa, Chordata, Actinopteri, Cypriniformes, Cyprinidae.
AAUAGAAACAUCUUGCGGCACGAAUGUACCAAUACAAAUAAAUAUAACAUCUCCAGUUAUUUAGCUGAGCAUCAAUUGUACGUUAGUACAAUAAGUUUAAUUUAAUAAGAGGCGAUCUAGAGUUGAAAUGUUUUAUUUUUUAUUAUUUUUUAUCAAGUGAUCAAAGUGUUUGUUGUCGCUGCGAUCAGUGGCCCAGAUGCUGUGUACAGUCUGCACUGUAUCAGGUCUGCACUCGGACACGCGCUUCAAUCCGUUGUGGAGACGGCCUAUUCGUUCCGGUGAAAUUACUAAACAUAAAUAUACACAAACGUAUCCCUGUCUGAUAUACAACAACUGAUAAACAUAAUCAGUUUUGAUAAAUAAAAAAAAAAAAACAUACGAGUGUGGGUUAAAACCCAAACCCGGACCUCUGACAUGCUAGGCAAAAGUUCUACCACUGAACCAUUUGAGCUGACAAACAGAUAUAUUGUAGCUUGAUAUUCACUAUAGGAAGAAAGUGCAGCAUAAAAAAUAGCAUAUUUUAGCAUUAAAAUCCCUUUAACAUUUAUGGUGAUCUGAGGGUGCGGGGGAGUCCAGUUAAUGAGGCGUAAUUCAUUAGCUUUAAUGAGAAUUGUAUAUUUUAUAGGCCUACAUUAAAGUUUAUUUCGUUUUUUAUAUUUUACAUUUAUUUCUUGAAUGCUACUAUUACAUCAACUGUAGCUGAAAAAAAUAAACCACUGUAUAUUUAAUUUGUAUAUUAUGUUGUUUAUAUGAAACUUUCUUUGUUUUUAUAUUUUUAAUAACAGAUUGGUUACCUGAGUACAUAUGUAUAAAGUACAGUUACACUGUAUGAUUGUGAAUUUUAAUUGCUGUUUUUAACAGAGAUUUUUGACUUUUCUGUUCUUUUACAGAACACUAUUGCACACAAAAUGCUCUUACUCAGCAGAUGGGGACAGCUACCAUCACCCAAUUUUCUUUUGCACAAGCUGUGCAAAAGUGGCUGCGCUAUGCGGCAGACCGGGCAGGAGGGACUGGACGACAACUUAUGCAGGCAUCAGAUGACAAUGAAGUGUAAAUAAAGAGCAGAGAGGCUAAUAAACAUGAAUUUGAUUUUAAA